GACGAACGCUGGCGGCGUGCCUAAUACAUGCAAGUUGAGCGAUGAAGAUUGGUGCUUGCACCAAUUUGAAGAGCAGCGAACGGGUGAGUAACGCGUGGGGAAUCUGCCUUUGAGCGGGGGACAACAUUUGGAAACGAAUGCUAAUACCGCAUAACAACUUUAAACAUAAGUUUUAAGUUUGAAAGAUGCAAUUGCAUCACUCAAAGAUGAUCCCGCGUUGUAUUAGCUAGUUGGUGAGGUAAAGGCUCACCAAGGCGAUGAUACAUAGCCGACCUGAGAGGGUGAUCGGCCACAUUGGGACUGAGACACGGCCCAAACUCCUACGGGAGGCAGCAGUAGGGAAUCUUCGGCAAUGGACGAAAGUCUGACCGAGCAACGCCGCGUGAGUGAAGAAGGUUUUCGGAUCGUAAAACUCUGUUGGUAGAGAAGAACGUUGGUGAGAGUGGAAAGCUCGUCAAGUGACGGUAACUACCCAGAAAGGGACGGCUAACUACGUG
RNAcentral lists this ribosomal RNA (497 nucleotides) under uncultured bacterium. RNAcentral's name for it is "partial 16S ribosomal RNA". It matches the Rfam family "Bacterial small subunit ribosomal RNA", at positions 28 to 507 of the family's 1533-position model. The record is from RNAcentral.